RNAcentral lists this long non-coding RNA (3785 nucleotides) under Brassica napus (rape). RNAcentral's name for it is "long non-coding RNA (BNAP_LNC024163)". The record is from RNAcentral. Lineage: Eukaryota; Viridiplantae; Streptophyta; Magnoliopsida; Brassicales; Brassicaceae.
UGGAUGACAUUGAUGUUGAUAUAAUAAAAAAACUAUCAUUUAUGCUAUAAUUUAUCCGGUUAUAUCAUCUUUAAUUACAAGUAGCCGGUGAAAAAAAAAGGAAAGAGAUAACGUCAUAUGUUUUAAGGUGUGGACACUUUAAUAGCUAACUGUUCAGAAUGAGAGAUAUGAAUGACAUCCACGUAACUUGUGUUUAUUACCACUUACAAUUUUAAAUUAUAUUAGUGAUGUGGUUCCAUGAAAUAAAUAAAUGAAUUAAUCGUGUAAAAACUGAAAUGAAUUGAGUGCAUAAUGAAAAAUAAAAGGAUGGUUUCAUUUCAUAUGAGAAAUAAUAUAUGACUCUAACCCAACACACAACUCUUAAAUAUUAAACCCAUACCUAAUUUUUGAAUAUUAAACCCUAAACUGUUAUCACUAAACUCAAACCUAAAUCUCCACCUUCCAAAUACUAAACCCUAAAUGCUAAUCACUAAACCCAAAAUUCUAAUCACUAAACCCUAAACCCAAGUAUAGACCAUAAACCCAAGUGACCCUAAACCCAGAUAGAAUGUAACAAAAAUAUAAUAUUGUUUAUUAAACCCAAACCUCUACUUACUAAAUUUAAACCCUAUACAUGAACCUAUAAACCCAAAUACAAUCAAUAAAUUAUUUUUCAGUAUUGGACACUUGAAGGCACAUUUACUUGGUUAGGAUGUUACAUAUCUUCUAUUCCAUAUAGUCUACAUAGUAUAGUACACGAAUAUUUAAAAUAAUCAAAAAAUUUCAAAAGUGUAUCCAUAGUAUGAAAUGCAAAUAGUAAAUUCUCUUCACCCGAAAAAUAUAACAAUACAAGACACACCAUUAAUUAUUAAAUCUAAACCCUAAUUAAGGAAGCAUAAACCCAAAUAGUAUAUAUAUAAUAUGUUUUACUAUACUCAAACCUUUACUUAGUAAAUCUAAACCCUAGGCACGAACCUAUAAACCCAAAUACAAUCUAUAAUUUUUUUUCCAAUAUUGGACACUUGAAGGCACAUUUUGAAUAUUAAAUCUUAAACUGCUAUCACUAAACCCAAGCCUUAACCACACACCUUCCAAAUACUAAACUUUAAACUCUAAUCAACCUUAAUCACGCACCUUCCAAAUACUAAACUUUAAAUCCCUAAACCCAAAUAGAAUGGAAUAAAAUAAAUAGUAUAGUACAUUUAAAUCCAAAUAUAAUCCCUAAACCCAAAUAGAAUGAAAUAAAAUAAAUAGUAUAGUACAUAUUGGUGAACAAAAUAGAACACUCUUUAUUAAUUGUCAAAUGAAACGAUACAUGUUCACUAAACCCAAAUUCCAACCCUGUCCUUCUAAAUACUAAACCCUAAAUCCUAAUCAAUAAACCCUAAACCCAAGUAUAAACCCUAAACCCAAAUAUAAACCAUAAACCCUAAACUCAAAACCCAAAUCUCAAAAUCUAAUACUGGCCUCAAACUCACUCCUAUUACUCUAAAUACUAAACCCUAAUCACUAAUUACAAAACCCUAAACUCAAAUAUAAACUCUAAAUCCAAAUAUCAAAAUCUAAAAUAAUACAUAAUAUUAUGUAAUAUUAAUUUAUACUAUAUAAAUAUUAUUUAUAGUUGAGAAAUGUAGUAUAGUACACUAAUAUAAGAGUUUAUUUGUCAUCUAUCCAAAAUUGGUUUUAAUCAUUACACUUAAACCAAUAUAGUAUGAAUUUCAUAUUACAAUCAAUUACACAAAAUGACAUAGAAGAAAACUAUCAAAUUUGUAAAUAUGAAGAUGAUUACAUUUUUAAGGGAUUGUUUAGAUAUAUAUCCCAAAGAAUAUAGUAACUUUACAUAAAUAACUACACUAAAGAAUAUAUACUAUACUAUUCAUUUCCCGAAUAUAGUAUAGACGAUAAGUUCAUCUUCUUCAAUUCUUCUUUUGUCAAACAUGCUGGUACACCUUCACCUCGUUCACUGUCGUUAUUUUUCACUACCAUAUAGAGAUCAUCUUCAUUUUUUCUCCUUUUUUUCCGACACGGCGACGCUUUUACCGGUCCGCCGUCGUUAUUCUUCCCCAUUGGAUCACUAAAACAAAAAAAGAAACGAAAACAAAGUAUGAAAACAAAAGCAUGAUGUGAGAAUCAAUGAUUUAAGAGAAAGAGAAAAAUAAAUGAAAUAGUUGUUAUGUUUGCUCACCGUAUACGCCUUCAUCGUUGUUCUUUGUUCUUCUCAUGAGAAGAAAUUCAGUUCAAGAAGAUGUGUGCAUAAUAAAAGACCACGUUCAUCUUCAUCUUCAUGAAAGCUAUCUAAUUAUCUUGAGAGGUGAGAGUGAAUACAACGUGUUUCGAAACGUAAAAUGAACUUCUUUAUCUUUGAUUUUCUACGACUAAAUGAGCAGGAAGACCAUAUGCUAACAUCUGAAAUGCGGCCGUUACUUUUUGCAAAGACGAUAAUCCAACCAUAUCUGCUGCAUCCCGUUUUUGUGUGAAGUAGUUGUCAUAACUUUCAACGGCUUCGAUUAUACGAAGGAAUAGAGGGCGCGACAUACGAUAUGUCCUACGAAACAACAUCAUUGUACAUCGGCGUCUCCGAAAAGUAAUCGUUGAACAAUCUAUAACUUGGUGAUCAAACAACAUCAGUUAUCAAUACUUUAAAAGAAGGAAAUACUGAAUUUUUGAAACAACUAAAAAAGACAAGAGCACAACGAAAAUAUCACUCGUAGAUUUAAAAGAAGAAUUAUGCUUUGAAUGAGCUGGAAAAAGAAAACAAAUAUUUAUUUUUUGACUUGAAUUCAAUGCAAGAUCUAGAAGUUCUUGCAUAUUUUCAAGAGGAACUAACACAAACGUAGUGUAUGGUGAUACCAAUGGCAUAUUAUGUAAUUUGUCUAGUAAUUAAAGGAUUCUUUUAACUGUGGGUUGAAGAGGCACGUGGAGUUGACGCAUCAUUAAAAUGGCAAGUAUGUAAAUAAGAUAUCAAACCAAUGUUAUUUUUUUUAAAUGCUUUCCUUUUAAUAAGCAAGGGAAGGGAUUUUAUUUCUUAGUUUUAGCUUAAGGGUGAAUUUGCCAAAUAACCAAGUUUGCAAUAAAAUUUAAGCCAAUAGCACUGAUUUUGACAUUAUUAACCUAGUAACAUUUUGUCCAUGAUUGAGUCGGUUAUACCCUCUCUUUUGACAAGUACCCGGUGAAAAAAGAAGAGCGUGGAUGACAUCAUCAAUUAUAGUUAUAGCUAUAAAUGAAACACAAUUAUUAUAAUUCCAUCACGUAGUGGAAACCACACCAAACAUUUAUUUACCACAUACUUAUUUAUUAUAGUAUGCAAUUUAUGAUAGUGCAACUAAACUUUACUAUAAACCUAGACCCAUAAAGCGUGCAAUUUAUGAUAGUGAAAUUUAUGAUAGUGCAAUUAACCAUGCACAGUAAAGCGUGAAUAAAAUUAGAACACCUUUGCAAUAAAUGGUAUAUUUCAUUACUUACUAAACAGAAGUGUUCUCUUUAGUAUAACAAAAUAGUAUAAAAGAACAACUCUAACCCAACUCCUAAAUAAUAAAUUUUAUCCCAACAUCACCUACUCCAAGCCUCUAAAUACUAUACCCUAAACACUAAAUCCGAAAUCUAAAUACAAACCCUAAACCCAAAUACAGAAUGUAUUUCAUAUCACUGAAAUAGUAUAGGACUCUAAGUCUCUAACUCAGCACACAACUCCUAAAUGCUAAACCCAGAUCCAACUUUUGAAUAUUAAACCCUAAACUGCUAUCACUAAACCCAAACCUUAACCACGCACCUUCCAAAUACUAAACUUUAAACUCUAAUCACUAAAC